AAUGAACGCUGGCGGCGCGCCUAAUACAUGCAAGUCGAGCGAGAAGACGUAGCAAUACGUUUGUAAAGCGGCGAACGGGUGAGGAAUACAUGGGUAACCUACCCUCGAGUGGGGAAUAACUAGCCGAAAGGUUAGCUAAUACCGCGUACGCUCCUUGGACUUCGGUUCAGGGAGGAAAGCGAUACCGUGGGUAUCGCGCUCUUGGAUGGGCUCAUGUCCUAUCAGCUUGUUGGGAGGUAACGGCUCACCAAGGCUUCGACGGGUAGCUGGUCUGAGAGGACAAUCAGCCACACUGGCACUGCGACACGGGCCAGACUCCUACGGGAGGCAGCAGUAAGGAAUAUUGCGCAAUGGGCGAAAGCCUGACGCAGCGACGCCGCGUGGGGGAUGAAGGUCUUCGGAUUGUAA
Molecule: ribosomal RNA, 408 nt
Filed under: uncultured bacterium
Lineage: Bacteria
Description: bacterial SSU rRNA
Rfam family: Bacterial small subunit ribosomal RNA
Source: RNAcentral